AUUGAACGCUGACGGCAGGCUUAACACAUGCAAGUCGAGCGGAGCGAGGGUGCUUGCACCUUAGCUUAGCGGCGGACGGGUGAGUAAUGCUUAGGAAUCUGCCUAUUAGUGGGGGACAACAUUCCGAAAGGGAUGCUAAUACCGCAUACGCCCUACGGGGGAAAGCAGGGGAUCUUCGGACCUUGCGCUAAUAGAUGAGCCUAAGUCGGAUUAGCUAGUUGGUGGGGUAAAGGCCUACCAAGGCGACGAUCUGUAGCGGGUCUGAGAGGAUGAUCCGCCACACUGGGACUGAGACACGGCCCAGACUCCUACGGGAGGCAGCAGUGGGGAAUAUUGGACAAUGGGGGGAACCCUGAUCCAGCCAUGCCGCGUGUGUGAAGAAGGCCUUUUGGUUGUAAAGCACUUUAAGCGAGGAGGAGGCGCUCUAGGAUAAUACCCUAGAUGCGUGGACGUACUCGCAGAUAGCCCCGC
This 471-nucleotide ribosomal RNA is filed under the name Acinetobacter sp. oral taxon C51. RNAcentral's name for it is "bacterial SSU rRNA". It matches the Rfam family "Bacterial small subunit ribosomal RNA", at positions 30 to 496 of the family's 1533-position model. The record is from RNAcentral. Lineage: Bacteria; Pseudomonadati; Pseudomonadota; Gammaproteobacteria; Moraxellales; Moraxellaceae.